RNAcentral lists this long non-coding RNA (2148 nucleotides) under Homo sapiens (human). RNAcentral's name for it is "MED28 divergent transcript, transcript variant 1 (MED28-DT)". The record is from RNAcentral. Lineage: Eukaryota; Metazoa; Chordata; Mammalia; Primates; Hominidae.
AGGCGUGGUCACGUGACAGGACCGAGCGAUGGGAGGAUUCUGGUGCACCCCGGAAGGAGGAUUUUUAAUUCUUCUGUUUUCUUGUCUAUCGCAAAACAGAGUUUACAUGUAUUUUCCUUUUUUCUUAGCUUAAGAAUUGAAGACUUUGGCCGGAUUAGACCUGGUUGUGUGGAGAGGAGAAUUAAUAACUACAGUGGAGCGAGCCCUCCUGCGAGAGUCAGGAUACUACUAUGCUAGUCCCGACUCUGCCCCAAAUGCCUGGAGAGACUUUGGCUAAGUCACUUUUUCUUUCCGCGGGCUGUUUACCGUUGGUAAAAGGAGAGGGUCACCCACUCACUCCACAAACAUUUGUUGAGUCAUUGGUUAUAGCGGGAACAAGACAGGCAAAGUUCUUCCUGAAUUCUGGUCGGAGAUGGAUAACGGAAACAACUUUGUUGAGGGUCUCGUUCUGUCGCCCUGGCCGGAGUGCAGUGUCAUGAUCAGGGCUCGACCUCCCGGGCUCAAACAAUCCCCCUACUUCAGCCACCCAAGUAGCUAGGACCACAGAUAUUUCUACAAUUUUAAUUUAAAGAUGAAGUUAGAAGGCCGGGUGCGGUGGCUCAUGCCUGUAAUCCCAGCACUUUGGAAGGCUGAGGUGAGAGAAUUGCUUCAGCUCAGGAGUUUGAAACCAGCCUGGGCAAAAAAGUGAAACUGUCUCUAAAACAAAUAAGGCUAGGAGCACAAAAGGGCUUUGUAUUGAUUUCUGGCCACGGUAACUAGGCCAAGAAAGAAAUUCUAUCCUCCUGCAGACCAGCAACAACCACAGCCAAGGAAUGCUCCUCCGGCAUUUGCCAUCCACUUGUUAAAAUGAUUAAACUAGGACUGCAUCAUGGUGGGAUGACCAGCACACUUCAAAGGGAAAAAAAUUUUAAAUCGGAAGAUGAAACAGUUUUAAAAAUCACUUCAAAAAAAAAAAAAAAACAACAACAACAAGGCUGUGCAAUGUGGGCAUUUUAAAUCAUUAACUCAGUACUUGAUGUCUGAUUAAAGUCCUGCCCUUGUGGAAGAACUGCCUGUGUUUCUCUGAUAUACACUGACCUACAAUGGAGAGUGCUUAGCGCGGCUAUGUCUCAGUUUAACGAGUCAUACCCCACCCAUGCGUCCUGCCUGGUCUCUGCUGAACUCUUUUCCCUUUGCUCGGCUACAAGUUUUGCAGCUUCCUCACCUGAACUGUCCUGCCCCACUCUCUUGUACUGUAACUUCUAAGCAACCUGCAGGACUCUCCUUAGGCUCCAGUCUUUUUUUGAGACACAGUGUCUCUCUGUCGCCCAGGCUGGAGUGCAGCGGUGCGAUCUCAGCUCACUGCAACCUCCAUCUCCCAGAUUCAAGCAAUUCUUGUGCCUCAGCUUCCCGAGUAGCUGGGAUCACAGGCACGCACCACCACUCCCAGCUAAGUUUUGUACUUUUAGUAGAGAUGGUGUUUCGCCAUGUUGGCCAGGCUGGUCUUGAAUUCCUGACCUCAAGUGAUCCACCUGCCUCAGCCUCCCAAAGUGCUGGGAUUACAGUCAUGAGCCACCAUGCCUGGCCUAGACUCCAUAUUCUUAUUAAAAUUUUUAUUUUAGAGAUGGGUCUUGCUAUGUUCCCUAGGCUGGCCUUGAACUUCUGGACUUGACAGACCCUCCUGCCUGCCUCUUGAGUAGCUGCAAAUAGAGGUGUGCACAAUCGCACCAGCAGCUUCAUAUUCUUUGGCAGUCCCCCUCAUCCCUCUGAUCCUGCAGUACCCUCUGCAAAUGCCAUUUACCUCCCUAUUCCUUCUUACAACAUCCUCACUUUCUGCAAGGACAAGGACCACUUCAUGCAUCUUUGUAUGAUAAAUUCCAGGCACACCAGAGGGGCUGUCAUAACCACUAUUUGGUGACCAAAAAGAUACUUUUAUAGAACCUAAACAUUGCUAUAGAUUAAACAUAUACUAACCAUUCCAGAAAUUUUAUCAAGCUCUAAGUACUGUGCUUUCUACAGACUAUUAAUUUUUCUUCACUCUGUCUAAACCAUAGAUGCUUUCCUGAAAAACACGAACUCUAAUCACAAUUAAGUACUAAAGAAUUCUUUUAAAUGGAAGUACCCUUGGGAAACAACUUUGACAAUAAAGAAUUCUUUAGGUCAAACAAA